Podarcis lilfordi (Lilford's wall lizard) is the source of this 68-nucleotide non-coding RNA. The record is from the annotation of a GenBank genome assembly. NCBI's taxonomy places the organism in Eukaryota, Metazoa, Chordata, Lepidosauria, Squamata, Lacertidae.
GACGGCUCAGCCUGUAGAGCAUGAGACUCUUACUCUCAGGGUUGUGGGUUUGAGCCCCACGUUGGGCA